AUGGUUACAACUGAUAUGCACACAACUUUUCCCUUGGUUUACCGUCUUGUUGAGUUAGCAUUGAUUUUACCUGUUGCAACCGCAACAGUGGAAAGGGCAUUCUCAGCAAUGGGCAUUAUCAAGACUGGAUUGAGGAACAAAAUGGGUGAUGAUUGGAUGAGUCAUAGAAUUUUACAUUGA
Molecule: ribosomal RNA, 180 nt
Filed under: Triticum aestivum (bread wheat)
Lineage: Eukaryota; Viridiplantae; Streptophyta; Magnoliopsida; Poales; Poaceae
Description: partial small subunit ribosomal RNA
Source: RNAcentral